RNAcentral lists this ribosomal RNA (351 nucleotides) under uncultured bacterium. RNAcentral describes it as "bacterial SSU rRNA". It matches the Rfam family "Bacterial small subunit ribosomal RNA", at positions 917 to 1269 of the family's 1533-position model. The record is from RNAcentral.
GGGCCCGCACAAGCGGUGGAGCAUGUGGUUUAAUUCGAUGCAACGCGAAGAACCUUACCAAUCCUUGACAUCCACGGAAUCCUUUAGAAAUAGAGGAGUGCCUUCGGGAACCGUGAGACAGGUGCUGCAUGGCUGUCGUCAGCUCGUGUUGUGAAAUGUUGGGUUAAGUCCCGUAACGAGCGCAACCCUUAUCCUUAGUUGCUACCAUUAAGUUGAGGACUCUAAGGAGACUGCCGGUGACAAACCGGAGGAAGGUGGGGACGACGUCAAGUCAUCAUGGCCCUUACGGAUUGGGCUACACACGUGCUACAAUGGGGUAUACAGAGGGUUGCGAAGCCGCGAGGUGGAGCG